CCUACGGGAGGCAGUAGUGAGGAAUAUUGGUCAAUGGCCGUAAGGCUGAACCAGCCAAGUCGCGUGAAGGAAGAAGGAUCUAUGGUUUGUAAACUUCUUUUAUAGGGGAAUAAAGGUAUCCACGUGUGGCUAUUUGCAUUUACCCUAUGAAUAAGCAUCGGCUAACUCCGUGCCAGCAGCCGCGGUAAUACGGAGGAUGCGAGCGUUAUCCGGAUUUCUUGGGUUUAAAGGGUGCGUAGGUUGUUUUUUAAGUCAGCGGUGAAAGUUUGUGGCUCAACCAUAAAAUUGCCGUUGAAACUGGAAGACUUGAGUGUGUUUGAGGUAGGCGGAAUGCGUGGUGUAGCGGUGAAAUGCAUAGAUAUCACGCAGAACUCCGAUUGCGAAGGCAGCUUACUAAGCCAUAACUGACGCUGAAGCACGAAAGCGUGGGGAUCAAACAGGAUUAGAUACCCCUGUAGUC
RNAcentral lists this ribosomal RNA (460 nucleotides) under uncultured bacterium. RNAcentral describes it as "partial 16S ribosomal RNA". It matches the Rfam family "Bacterial small subunit ribosomal RNA", at positions 338 to 795 of the family's 1533-position model. The record is from RNAcentral.